GACAGGGGCCCGGACAGUCACCAGGGGCUGGGCCCCCACGAAGCAAGGGGCCCGGGCAGGGCGGGGGCCAGGCCUGAAUUAUAGGCUUCUGACAGUGAAAGGGAAACAGCCAGCUGUCUGUCCAGAGGGAUAUACCAUGGGACAAGCAAACACGGCACAGGGUGAACAGGAUGCUCCGCAAACAGCACAGCCACUGUGGAAAACAGUUUGGCGUGUUCCCAUAAUCAGACAUCGUUUACUGCAGCUCCUCUCCCAGUAUUUAACCCGGAGUGAGGAAGAACGGCAUCCCCUAAGACUCGUAUUGCAAUGCCCUAGGGCCCACACCUGGGCUGGCCACAUGGCUUCAGCUCGUGGAUGAUACACAAACGUGGCCCAUCCUUACAGAGCGAGCCCAGGCAGCAGUGCAAGCGAUGGAGCUGCAUGGACCCAUCUCACACACACUCAACUCGGAGUGCAGAAGCCAGACAGGCUCCAUGGUGCAUGGUUCUGUUUAUAUGAGACUCUAGGCGACACAAGUGUAAUCUAUGGCCACAAAAAGCAGGUCAGUGGUUCCAAGCCAGGGAUCAGGGUAGCGAUGGCAAGGGGCACAGGAACUUUUGGGGUGAUGGAAAGGUCUAUAUUCAUGAUUACGGUGAUACAUUUGUUACAAUUCAUCGAAGGUAAAGUAUACCCCAAUAAACUUGAUGUAAAAAAAAAUAGACAACCUAAUUAAAUAUUAGCUCUUUAUGUAAUAUAACAGUAUAUUUUAAAUCAAAGGAGAAAGACUAGCUUGUUGAAUAAAUGGGGCUGGAAUAAUUGCUUAACUAUACGUAAUAAAGUUUGACACUUGAACUUACAAAAAAUGACAGCCCCUCACUACAAUAUUUUAAACUGCAUGUAAAUAAUAAUAUAUGUACAUUUAACUUGAAAAAGAAAAACCUAAAAAAAAUUGUACCUGAGCAGGGGGAGGGGAAAGGGUGGGGCUCCCUAGGAACAGCUGUCUUAACGUAACUGGGGCAGCUGAGCCACACAUGGGGGUCCACAAUGCUAUUCUGUUUGUUUUGUAUACACUUGAAAUCCUCCAUAGGAAGUUUUUAAAAAAGCGCAUUAGCACAUUAAAAAUCUGUGAUUCCGAAGUAGAGAGACCUCUUGAUUCAGCAUUUCUCAGUUUACCUGCCAGGGAACCCUAUUUCCAUGGACUACCGUUAACAUCUGGGGGACCAGUGUUACAUGGAGGACAUUCCUCUGCUCCACUGCCACCGGCACCCUGACAUUCCCUGCCCACGGGCACGGGGCCCUGCGAUGGUCAGACCUGCUGGGACAGGGAAGUGCCGUGUGGGAUCAGCUGAACACGUGGCAAUGAUAAGGACACUGCCUCUAGUUUGCAUAGCCCUUGUGUUUGUCUUUUAAACGGCUUUCAUUUUUCCCUUUACGAUGAUGACACAAAAGAUAUGUACACGCAAAAAUAACAACAGCUCUUCUUACGGCGGGUACUCCCUGAGCCCUUUGCCACUUCCCCUUGCAGCAAGCCACAAGAUAACCUCUUGUCUCACAGGCAGAGGACAGAGGCACAGAAUGUCAGGUCACUCGACCGCAGCUAGCAACUGGCCAGGCUGGUCCUGGGACUGAAACGAGGCCGACUUGCUUUAACCAUACCCAGCUGUCUGUCUGCAGAAGUAGCUGGAUAAUACCUCACUGAAGGCCACCCCAGAGACACAUCUCUGACACUUGGGGCACUGUGCUAACAGGUGCUUAAGUUGUUUUUCAGGAACUGAGAGUCUACCCCUUAUCCAGUUCAGGCCGGUUAAGACCACUGACUCAUCAACUGGGUCUGCGAGAAUGCCCGAUAGGUGAUCCUUUCGAUGUCAGGGGGCCAAAAACUCCACCCCAAAUCUUGCUAAGGCCACCCUUCCGUGAACACGCGUCCUGUGCAGAGCCAUGAAGCCUGACUGUGCUGGCGUGGGUCAUCAGUGCCCUCACUCCUCCUCACCUCCAGGCAUCCACCCUGCACUUCCGACCACCUGCCCCUCUCCCAUAAAUAUCCCUAAUCCCCAUUUUCGGGAGGCAGAUUUGGGACUUACUCUCCCGUCUCCUCGCUUGGCUGUCUUGUGAAUAAACCCUUUCUCUGCUGCAAACUCAUCGUCUUGAUGAUGGGCAUGCUGCGCAGCAGGCAAAACGAAGCUGGUUCAGUAACAGGACUUGGGUGUGUUUUGGGCCUGUGUCCUAAGCCUUGUGCCAGGGUGUGAGGCUGCUUCGUGGCAGAUGGAGCCAUGCCCUCACCAGGGCACCUUCCAUUCCCCUGUCUACUUGGCCUCAGGGUCCCCCUCUGCCUCUCCUCUCAUUUCCUACAUUCUAACCACCUGGAGCCCAGGGGAACCUGCCUGAGCAGAGCCAGCAUCAGCAGGGGACGGGGCACAAGAACAGCCCUUCUCUGUCCUUCGGAAAUGCCUUAGGGAAACACGGAGAGCCUGCAGGGGACCUGGGGGGGAGGGGGGCGGUCUGCCCAGGCUCAAGGGGACCAGUGGGAAGAGCAGGGCUCCAAUGGGAGCAAAGUUCCAGCCUAAAGUCAGCAAAAUCCUGGUCCAUCCUUGGAGGCUGUCUUAUCUCUGCUUUAGGCAGGCGAGGGUCACAGAUCCAGCUCCGAGUCACACCCUAGAAUCAUGAAUCAGAGGGCACCAGGCCAAGGCCUAAAGGCUGGUCACACCUGAUAGGUGACCACAGGCCCUGGCCAGGGCUGGGUGGAGUCCCCGGGGCAAGGGGCUCUCUAGAGAGCGGCCCAAUGUCCCUCAAGAUUACUGGGCUGGCAAGAGCCACAGUUCACACGAAUUCCUGUCAGUCUUUUUCUGGACCAGAGGUAGGUGCCAGGAAGGAGAUAAUGGUGGAAGGGACCUUCACACCCACUCUAGGUCUGCCCAGAGCCCCUGCUGACCCCAGUAGAGGCUCUGACCUGGGCUCUCCAAUCACGACCCCUCUAGUGCACGGGCAGCACAGACAGAGGGCACAGCAGGCAGCUCCCCCGGCCCCAGGCAGUGCAGAGCAGCCCCCGGCCAUCCCUGCCCCUCUCCCUCUCUCCCGGCUGCUGGCCUGAGCUAGCAGCACAACAGGGAAAGGGUUAAUUCCAAUUCAAGCCUCUCAUCUGAUAGCUGCUCCACUAAAUGCUUCUCUGUGCCCCAGCCCGAGACACUGGAAACUCUCCCAGGAAGACAAAGGGCACUUGCUUUCCCAUAAGGAAAACCCGGGCAGCCAGCCAGGUCUCAGAACCUCCAGCCCUGCCUGCCCACGGAAACGUGGGAACCAGCAGCCCCGGCCUGGGGGGUGAGCCCAGGGGACCCUCCCGCGGAACUGAAGGGGACGAGAGCAGAACGGAAGCCACAGAUUCCAGAAAACCACGUCGCACCACACCUCAUCCAGAGCUCACAGCAAGCCUGAGCCGGGCAUUGUUCAAACAGCAGAGCAUCUGCCCCAGACGGGAGCGGGGUCUCAUCACUGACCUGAUUAAGAAUUGCCCACACGUGGUAAUAAGAAAAAGUAGGAAAAGUU
Molecule: non-coding RNA, 3519 nt
Organism: Equus caballus (horse)
Lineage: Eukaryota; Metazoa; Chordata; Mammalia; Perissodactyla; Equidae
Source: RefSeq, a predicted model, not a curated record